UAAAUGAAAAUAUAAAUAUGAGAUGAAAAACUUACAAAACGGCACUGAAAAAAGUUAAAACUAAAACUAAAAGAAAAAUAAAUGAAAGACAAAUAGAAAUAUAAAAAACAACAAAAACUAGUUAAAACUUAAUGCCAAGAGCACAUAACAAAAUCACCAAACUGGAAUAAAAUGGAAUUGAAUGAAACUAAAUAAUUACUACUAGUAUAUAAAUAAAACAAAAAUAUCACUGAAUAAUUACGAUAAUUUCACAGUUACUUUUUAAGUAAUUCUGUUGAAGUUGUGUGGAAGUCGGGGAAGUCGUGGCCUACUGGUUAGAGAGUUUGACUCCUUACCCUAAGGUUGUGGGUUUGAGUCUUGGGUCGGCAAUACCACGACUGAGUAUUGGUCACGUCACUUUCACUUUUUCCACUUUCACUUUUUCACUUUAAUUUGCAAGAAACUAGCACAUCAAUUUAGAUCAGACAUGAAAUUAUUCUUCCAGAAGGGAAACAUGGUUUCAAAUUAUGUAAACAUAAGUAAGAUUUUCUGUCUGUGGCUGCAAUUCCCCACAUCUGCAUUACAGCAAAAACAACACCCCACCCACCCUGCCUUCGAUUUCUACCGAUUUCUACACAGAUAUGCCGUCUGCAUUUAGUGCAUGAUUCACUGAAGGAAUUAUGCAAAACAGCAUCGCUCUGCCAUUGCAAUCAAGGCACCUGAACACAUCCCUUUUUAUUAACAUUUGUUUGCAGCCUGCAUUCUGUGGGCGCUGAAAGCAUAAUGUACAAUCCACCAGGCAUAUAACGCAGAAGCACAAAUGAUAACCUGUCUAAUUUACCAAAAACACGAGAUAUGUUUGGGCUGAAAAGAAUAUCACUUAAUUUAAACAUUCACACACAUUGUAGGAGGUUAGUGAAUGUGAUGCAGGUUUUUGUACUGAAAUAUUUUGCAGAAAGUUUUAUGAUAAUCUUUCUCUUUAUCAGAGCUCCACACACUACUUCACUCAGCACUUCCUCUCAGCUCUCUUUCCUGCUGCUGCUUGUGACUAAACGUCACAGGGUCAUGGUGUUGUCAAGUUUUCCGCAUUCGCUCAUGCUCAAACCUGAUUUUUCCUGACACAUGGUGUUUUACAUGAACCUACUAAAUAUUUGUCUGAUCUUCGAAAGACAUUAUAAAGCAUAAGGAAUUUCUUAUAUGCAAGAAAUACAAGCUUGUGUAUAAACUACUGUUUAAAAGUUUGAGGUCUGUAAGAGUCUCUCCAGACUGCAUUUAUUUGAUCAAA
This is a long non-coding RNA of Cyprinus carpio (common carp), 1264 nucleotides long. RefSeq lists it as uncharacterized. Lineage: Eukaryota; Metazoa; Chordata; Actinopteri; Cypriniformes; Cyprinidae. The transcript is spliced from 2 exons. The record is from RefSeq and is a predicted model, not a curated record.